RNA transcript from Tribolium castaneum (red flour beetle), 823 nucleotides. RefSeq lists it as uncharacterized. The record is from RefSeq and is a predicted model, not a curated record. The transcript is spliced from 3 exons. Lineage: Eukaryota; Metazoa; Arthropoda; Insecta; Coleoptera; Tenebrionidae.
UUGAAAUGAUGACAGCACAGCUGCAACACCGCAGUCAGUAACAUCAGUAACGUUUGAGGUUAUCUUCUUCUUCUUGAUGGCCUCAACCAAGAUACCUAAAACAUAUGGUAUACCGACUGCCUAUCUUUCCUUAAUAAAAAAAUUGGUCAAAAAACUUAUAUUUUGGUCAAGCACAUUAAAUUUUGUGUAACGUCAAACUAAAACAAAGGUUAUGUUAUUUUGGAGUUAUAAGAUUAGAAGGAAGCGAAGGAAGUAAUAACGUUUGACGUUAUAUAUUUAUUACGAUUAUUAAUACAGACGACAGUUUGUUAGAUUUUCUGUUAUUUGAUGUUAUGAUUUAAUUGAUCUGAUAAAAAUGGAUACAAAAAAGUACGGAGUCAGCUUAUCGGCUCUAAAAAGUUUACAAGAUUUCCAGCGUUCGCUCUUGAAUAAGAAACGAAAAAAAUUAAUUAGAAUGCCUUUUGCAGUUGAAUGUUUGUUUUCCAUCAAUGAUGAAGAACCGUAUCGUUGCGGUAUAGUAGCAGACUCGGGACUUGUGUCUUCUGAAGUAUUUGGUGUGAUUUAUUUGAAAAAUCGGGUUGCAUCCAGUACUGAAACUAAUACUACUGUGGUAUUUGAGGGUAAAGGGCCAUUACGUUUAUUUCAGAAAAUGUCUAUACGAUUUGAUAGUAAAGACGACAAGGAUGCUUUUAUGACCAGCAUUCAAAAUGUUCUAAGCUCGGAUUCAGAUAGUGGCAGUUCAAGUAGUGGCGAUAGUGUAUUACAGUAGUGUAUUAUUUGUUAUACAUUGAUUUGGCUGAAUAAAUAAUUUUUUGUAUUCAUA